Unclassified non-coding RNA from Otolemur garnettii (small-eared galago), 113 nucleotides. It matches the Rfam family "Y RNA". From Rfam's summary of the family: Y RNAs are components of the Ro ribonucleoprotein particle (Ro RNP), in association with Ro60 and La proteins. The Y RNAs and Ro60 and La proteins are well conserved, but the function of the Ro RNP is not known. The record is from Ensembl. NCBI's taxonomy places the organism in Eukaryota, Metazoa, Chordata, Mammalia, Primates, Galagidae.
GGCUGGUCUGAAGGUAGUACCUUACCUCACAUGAAUGUUCACAGUCAGUUGCAGAUUGAACUCCUUAUUUUACUCUUUCCCCUCUUGUCACUACUGCAUGUGAAUAGUCUUUU